Molecule: ribosomal RNA, 411 nt
Filed under: uncultured Desulfobulbus sp.
Lineage: Bacteria; Pseudomonadati; Thermodesulfobacteriota; Desulfobulbia; Desulfobulbales; Desulfobulbaceae
Description: bacterial SSU rRNA
Rfam family: Bacterial small subunit ribosomal RNA
Source: RNAcentral
GGUCUUGACAUCCCGGAGACCCUUAGGAAACUAGGGGUGCUUCCAUCUGGAAGAAUCUGGAGACAGGUGCUGCAUGGCUGUCGUCAGCUCGUGUCGUGAGAUGUUGGGUUAAGUCCCGCAACGAGCGCAACCCUUGCCUUUAGUUGCCAGCAGUUCGGGCUGGGCACUCUAAAGGGACUGCCGGUGUUAAACCGGAGGAAGGUGGGGAUGACGUCAAGUCCUCAUGGCCUUUAUGACCAGGGCUACACACGUACUACAAUGGCCGAUACAAAGGGCAGCGACACUGCGAGGUGAAGCCAAUCCCGUAAAAUCGGUCUCAGUCCGGAUUGGAGUCUGCAACUCGACUCCAUGAAGUUGGAAUCGCUAGUAAUCGUGGAUCAGCAUGCCACGGUGAAUACGUUCCCGGGCCUU